Salmo salar (Atlantic salmon) is the source of this 54-nucleotide non-coding RNA. The record is from Rfam. NCBI's taxonomy places the organism in Eukaryota, Metazoa, Chordata, Actinopteri, Salmoniformes, Salmonidae.
AAUGCACCAAUUUGUAAGUCGCUCUGGAUAAGAGCAUCUGCUAAAUGAUGUAAA